This 495-nucleotide ribosomal RNA is filed under the name uncultured bacterium. RNAcentral describes it as "partial 16S ribosomal RNA". The stretch from base 51 to 495 matches the Rfam family "Bacterial small subunit ribosomal RNA", at positions 37 to 507 of the family's 1533-position model. The record is from RNAcentral.
GGGGGGGGGGGGGGGGGGGGGGGGGGGGGGGGGGGAGGGGGGGGGGGGAGUGGCUUGGUGCGCGGGGUGAGUUGCGGACGGAUGGGUGGCGGGUAGGUUACCUGGCUGGUAGCGGGGGAUGCCUAGUUGACACUAUAGCUCAUCCCGCAUCAGACGCGAUGGUGCCUGGCCUUUGCUUCAAAGGUGCACGUGCCUCACUAGCAGAUGGCCAUGUGUUUAAUUUGCUAGUGUGAGAGGUAACGGAUCACGAAGGCGACGAUACAUAGGCGACCUGGGAGGGUGAUCGGCCACACUGGUACUGAGACACGGCCCAGACUCCUACGGGAGGCAGCAGUAGGGAAUCUUCGGCAAUGGACGGAAGUCUGACCGAGCAACGCAGCGUGAGUGAAGAAGGUUGUCGGAUCGUAAAGCUCUGUUGUAAGAGAAGAACGAGUGUGAGAGUGGAAAGUUCACACUGUGACGGUAUCUUACCAGAAAGGGACGGCUAACUACGUG